AUCCAGCUGACGAGUCCCAAAUAGGACUUGACGCGCGACAGACUGGAU
RNAcentral lists this non-coding RNA (48 nucleotides) under Schistosoma mansoni. The record is from RNAcentral. Lineage: Eukaryota; Metazoa; Platyhelminthes; Trematoda; Strigeidida; Schistosomatidae.